CACGGGGGUUGCGAGCGUUGUCCGGAAUUACUAGGCGUAAAGGGCAGGCAGGCGGAUCCAUAAGUUUAUCGUUUAAGGCGUCGGUUUAACCGGCGUAGGGCGGUAGAUACUGUGGAUCUGGAAUGCGGUUGGGGAAGACAGAAUUCCUGGUGUAGCGGUGGAAUGCGCAGAGAUCAGGAGGAAUACCGAAGGCGAAGGCAGUCUUCCAAGCCGUUAUUGACGCUCAACUGCGAAGGUGUGGGUAUCAAACAGGAUUAGAUACCCCGGUAGUCCCUGAGCGGG
This 282-nucleotide ribosomal RNA is filed under the name uncultured prokaryote. RNAcentral describes it as "partial 16S ribosomal RNA". It matches the Rfam family "Bacterial small subunit ribosomal RNA", at positions 524 to 803 of the family's 1533-position model. The record is from RNAcentral.